This 433-nucleotide ribosomal RNA is filed under the name uncultured bacterium. Its description in RNAcentral is "partial 16S ribosomal RNA". It matches the Rfam family "Bacterial small subunit ribosomal RNA", at positions 29 to 507 of the family's 1533-position model. The record is from RNAcentral.
AACGAACGCUGGCGGCAUGCCUAACACAUGCAAGUCGAACGAGACCUUCGGGUCUAGUGGCGCACGGGUGCGUAACGCGUGGGAACCUGCCCUUAGGUUCGGAAUAACUCCCCGAAAGGGGUGCUAAUACCGGAUAAUGUCUUCGGACCAAAGAUUUAUCGCCUUUGGAUGGGCCCGCGUUGGAUUAGCGAGUUGGUAGGGUAAAAGCCUACCAAGGCGACGAUCCAUAGCUGGUCUGAGAGGAUGAUCAGCCACACUGGGACUGAGACACGGCCCAGACUCCUACGGGAGGCAGCAGUGGGGAAUAUUGGACAAUGGGCGAAAGCCUGAUCCAGCAAUGCCGCGUGAGUGAUGAAGGCCUUAGGGUUGUAAAGCUCUUUUACCCGGGAUGAUAAUGACAGUACCGGGAGAAUAAGCUCCGGCUAACUCCGUA